This 298-nucleotide ribosomal RNA is filed under the name uncultured Thermodesulfobacterium sp. RNAcentral's name for it is "partial 16S ribosomal RNA". It matches the Rfam family "Bacterial small subunit ribosomal RNA", at positions 498 to 794 of the family's 1533-position model. The record is from RNAcentral. Lineage: Bacteria; Pseudomonadati; Thermodesulfobacteriota; Thermodesulfobacteria; Thermodesulfobacteriales; Thermodesulfobacteriaceae.
UAACCUGCGGGCGUGAUGCCGAGGUAAUACGACGGGGGCAAGAGUUAAUCUGAAUUGCUGGGCGUAAAGGGUGCGUAGGCGUGUAUUUAAGGCUUCCGUGAAAUCCCCGGGCUCAACCUGGGAAUGGCGGUGGAUACUGGAUAGCUAGAGUGUGUCAGAGGAUGGUGGAAUGCCCGGUGUAGCGGUGAAAUGCGUAGAGAUCGGGAGGAACAUCAGUGGCGAAGGCGGCCAUCUGGGACAACACUGACGCUGAAGCACGAAAGCGUGGGGAGCAAACAGGAUUAGAUACCCGUGUAGC